AACUCUUUUAAGAGCCGACCCUCACAAGAGCUACUAGUGAGUCGCUGCAAACCUGCCAUGAUCAGCCCUUUCCAGAGAAGGAAGACCAGUCCUUAUAUCAAAACAAGCUCAUCGAAGUCCUUUGUUUAGGGUGAGGAAGGAACAUGACCAUCUCAUGCCCAAAGAAGACAGAAGUCCAUUGAUAGCAAGUGAAGUCACUAACAGAAGAUCCUA
This is a long non-coding RNA of Megalobrama amblycephala (Wuchang bream), 213 nucleotides long. RefSeq lists it as uncharacterized. The record is from RefSeq and is a predicted model, not a curated record. Lineage: Eukaryota; Metazoa; Chordata; Actinopteri; Cypriniformes; Xenocyprididae. The transcript has 3 exons.